RNAcentral lists this ribosomal RNA (253 nucleotides) under uncultured bacterium. RNAcentral's name for it is "partial 16S ribosomal RNA". It matches the Rfam family "Bacterial small subunit ribosomal RNA", at positions 524 to 776 of the family's 1533-position model. The record is from RNAcentral.
UACAUAGGGUGCAAGCGUUACUCGGAAUUACUGGGCGUAAAGCGUGCGUAGACGGUCAUGUAAGUCGGGUGUGAAAGCCCCGGGCUCAACCUGGGAAUUGCAUUCGAGACUGCAUGGCUAGGAUGCGGAAGAGGGAAGCGGAAUUUCCGGUGUAGCGGUGAAAUGCGUAGAUAUCGGAAGGAACACCAGUGGCGAAAGCGGCUUCCUGGUCCAGCAUCGACGUUCAGGCACGAAAGCGUGGGGAGCAAACAGG